AGUUCUAGGCAGUGGCAGUAUCAAAGUCAAUGAGGUCUAACCAAGGCACAAUUAUUGCUGAUUGAAAACUCAGAUAAAAAGUUCACCUUUACUUCUAAGGAGACUGAAAAUGGAGUCAUUGAAUAAUAAAGAAUAAA
Non-coding RNA from Sarcophilus harrisii (Tasmanian devil), 137 nucleotides. NCBI's taxonomy places the organism in Eukaryota, Metazoa, Chordata, Mammalia, Dasyuromorphia, Dasyuridae. The record is from Rfam.